Molecule: ribosomal RNA, 253 nt
Filed under: uncultured bacterium
Lineage: Bacteria
Description: partial 16S ribosomal RNA
Rfam family: Bacterial small subunit ribosomal RNA
Source: RNAcentral
UACGUAGGUGGCAAGCGUUGUCCGGAUUUACUGGGCGUCAAGAGCGCGCAGGCGGUCGAUCAAGUCGCGUGUGAAAGCCCCCGGCUCAACUGGGGAGGGUCACGCGAUACUGAUCGACUCGAAGGCAGGAGAGGGUAGUGGAAUUCCCGGUGUAGUGGUGAAAUGCGUAGAUAUCGGGAGGAACACCAGUGGCGAAGGCGACUACCUGGCCUGUUCUUGACGCUGAGGCGCGAAAGCUAGGGGAGCAAACAGG